UACCACAAUGUUCCUGCCCCUUGCUGC
RNAcentral lists this non-coding RNA (27 nucleotides) under Mus musculus (house mouse). Lineage: Eukaryota; Metazoa; Chordata; Mammalia; Rodentia; Muridae. The record is from RNAcentral.